Brassica rapa (field mustard) is the source of this 3182-nucleotide long non-coding RNA. RefSeq lists it as uncharacterized. NCBI's taxonomy places the organism in Eukaryota, Viridiplantae, Streptophyta, Magnoliopsida, Brassicales, Brassicaceae. The record is from RefSeq and is a predicted model, not a curated record.
AAAAAAAAAUCAUUAUUUUGUUUAUGAUAAAAAUUUAAUUAGAAUUAAUUUAUAAUAAUAUUAUACUACUAAUUGCAAAAUUAAUCAGUGCAUUAAUUAGAAGAAUAUUUAAAUUUUUAAGAAGAUUUUGUUAGAUUUUUUCUCAACAGAUUCUGUUAUUCCUAAAACGAAAGUUUAAAUUUAUAGUUAAAAUAGAUUUGUUAUUAAUAUCCUUAUAAUUAUUUAGAAAUGUUAUACACUAAAUAAACUAAUGUAAACAACAACAAAAUUAUUUGAAUAUAUGGACCUAGACUUCUAGUAUGACUAUUUUGUAGUAGAUAAAAAUGAUACUUCUCUUUUAAUAGAGAAGAUUAUUGUAACAAGUUUAUCUAGCUAUAAAAAUACUCCAAUUAUAUAUUCUUAAGCUUUUCAUCACCCAAACAUUUUUGCUACUCAAUUUAAUAUUCAAACUAAUUUUUUUUUCUCAUUUUAAUACACUUACUUUUAAAACUAUGCCUAUUUUAAUAUCCAAACUACACUAAUUUUAAUAAACCAAAUAUUAAUAAGUUUCAGACAAAGCUUAAACAAUAUCUAAAAUUAAAAUUUAAAUCUUAAAAUUUUCAAAAUUUAUUUAAAUUUUAAGAAUAAAAUUAACUAAGUUUUGGAUAGUAUUUUAAAAUUUAGAAAAAAACAUUUUGAAUAAAAUAAAUAAAUUAUUUUUAAACUUUAAAAAACAAAAAUAAAUUUGAAAUUAAAACUAAAACUAAUAUUAAAAAAACAAUUCAAGAUUAUCCAAAUAUAGUUACUUUUAUUCUUAAAAGUUAAAAUAAAAUUUAAUAAUUUUAAGAUUUUUUGAAAUUUUAGAGAUUUCUAAGUUUUGUUUGAAAGUUAUUAUUAACAUGAGCAUACUUUAGGUAUUAAAAUGAGCAUAUUUUAAAAGUAAAUGUAUUAAAAUGAGAAAAAUAAUUAGUUUAGGUAUUAAACUGAAUAAAAAAAGUUUGGGUAUUAAAAAGUUUAACAAAAUUUAGUUGCGUUAUUUUUAUGGAAUUUUCCCUUUUAAGAAUUAACCUUUGUUUCUAAAUAUAUUUUUUUUUGUAAUAAUCAUACUUUAUAGAUCGAAUGGUCAUAGUCAAUGGUCAAUCAUAUCUGGUUUAGUAAUGUUCCUAAUUUUUUCUUUGACUCUUGUGGAAUCUUAUACACCACUUAUUUAGAAAAAGAAGAAAGAAAAAAGUAACACAUUAACAAUAUUGUGCUUUUUGUCAUCAAGGAUAUUUUGUUUAAAAGUGGUAUUUAAUGUUUUUGCACAUGGAUUAAUAUUUUUUUUAUUUUUAUAUAAUUUAUCUUGGUUACAUAUGAAUAUCAUUAAAUAAAAUUAAUUCAACCAAUAAAAAAUUAGUCACGAAAUUCAAAUGAUAUUAAAUUCUAUUUAGAAUAGUGAAUACAUCAAUUAUUUUCGCUGCAAAAAUAUUUUCUUUAAACACCACUUAAAUUGAUAUGGUAGAAUUAUACAGCAAGAUUUUCUAAAUAAUCUAUAAGAAGAAAAUAUAUGUGCAUAUAUGUUAGGUAAAGAAAAAAAAGACUAGUCAAAACGAUAAUUAAUGGAUAAAUAUAUUGCCUCUUUAAAAUUAUUUGGUGACAUAACAUACUUUAUAUUUAUCUUAAAUAUUUUAUUUUGUAUAAAUAAUACCAAGAAUAUAAAAUCACAGUUUUCAGGAGAAGCACAUCACAAGAUUGCUUAAGACGUCAAAACCAUGAAAAUACAGGCAUCCUUGAUAUUCAUGUUCAUCCUCUCUUUCUUUGCUUUACAUCAGUGUGCAAAGACGAAUGUUAAAGGAAUAGAGGAUUCAAACAUAGUCAUAACAUCAAAUUGUGUUCAGGCUGGGUGUUUUCAUAUAUUUAAAAAAGAUUGUUGGUGUUGUCCAGGACCAGGACGCAAAUGUUGGAAAGACAAAGCUUCGUGUGAUGCUAUAUGUCCUCGUCCUCCAAAAUAAUGUAAUAAAUCUUAAUUUAUUAGAAAUUGUUGUUCAGUGACGCAUAUUAAAGUAUUCAAUAAUAAAAAAUAAAUUAGUUUUACCUACAUUAGUCUUCUUAUUUAUAACUUGCAUUUUUAUUUAAAUACUUAGGAAAAAAUUUAAGAAUCAUUUUGUCAUUGAAUUUCAUCACAUUCGUUACAUACAUUUAUGCAACUCGAUUAUGUUCCAGUUAUGAAGCAAAUCACAUUUUAAUUUAACAAAACCUAUUAACAAGCAAUGUUAAUGUUAUUCAUAUAAAAUGAAUCAUUUUAAAUCGCCAUAAUUUUUUGUAUUUUUAAAUAUAAAUUCUCUGUUCUCAAAUUAGAUAAAAACUUAUAGUUCACCAUUAGUUUAUAUUAUUUUUGAAAAUGUUAACUCCAUUGAACAAGAGUGGAUUUAUUAUUAAAAAUAAUUAUUUUUUUGUUUAAACAGUUUUAAUAAAUUUGUACAGUGACAAGAAUCCCCAUAGUUGAAUUGAAACUAACAUUGGAAAACGACACUAAAUGGCAAAAAUCAUAUUAGCAAUGUUAUUCAAAAUAUGCAUAAAAAUGUCAAAGUGUUUUUAUACGGUAAAAUUGAAAAUUUGAUAUUUUAAUCAAUGUUAUAAUUAAAUAGUUGUUAGGAUCAGUUGAUAUUUCUUGCAUGUAUGAUUUUUAUAAUAGUCGAAUGAAUGAUGCAUCUUAAUUUAAAGGAAUAGUGGUUAAGUUUAGGUAGGAUUUUUGUUCGCUACAAAAACUGCAUUGGGCCUCCAGAUAUUACUUGACAACUUAGCAUACACAAGAAGACUGGCCUUAAAAGCCCUGCGUACAAAAAUAAAGAAUUUUCUUUUCGAAUGCUAUAAGAUGCUUAAAUCAGUAAAGUGUUUGGGGCUAAUGAUCAAUCGCACCUAUCGGAUGUGAGUGUUUGGUAUAAUAAUACUAAUGCACUCUAUAGAAGUGGGGUUAUAACUUUAGGCCAAGUCCAAUCGAACACUAUAGCUGUAAAAUAGUGCAAUAUUUGCGGUUUCCUCUCUCCAACCACACGGUAAAAGGAACUGUAUUUUUUUUUCAAAACUGUUUUUUAAUAUGUUAUUUAUAUUUUUUAUAUAUCUUAUUAUUUUUUAUCACUGGAUAUGAUAUCUCAAUAAAGUAAAUAUGUCAUAUUUGUUUUGUUAUCUUUUAAAUUUAUUUAAUGUAAAAUAUUAAUUUAUAU